Cygnus atratus (black swan) is the source of this 1973-nucleotide RNA transcript. RefSeq lists it as uncharacterized. Lineage: Eukaryota; Metazoa; Chordata; Aves; Anseriformes; Anatidae. The transcript has 7 exons. The record is from RefSeq and is a predicted model, not a curated record.
GCUGUCUCAGUCCUGACGCUGCGAGGCGCAGCGCCCUGUCCCCGUGCUGGGCACCUGCCCCGAGCUCCCCCACGGUGAGCAGCACCGGGGGGCUGCCCCCACACCAGGGAAGUGGCCAAAUCCUGCUGUCCCCUCCUGGGCACAGCACCCAGAGCAGCCUCCAGAGCUGUGCCUGCACUCGGGCAAGAGCCCAUCAGUGUGCUCGGGCUCAUCCUGGGCCUUGGGCUGGCCCUGCUGAUCCUGGUCCUGUUUGGCUAUGCCUUUGUCCGGUGCUACCAGCAGGGCCGGUGCUGGCGCCGGCCUGACUUUGUCUUCAACCUCUACCACAGCUGCGGGCUGAGGUCGGUGGCAGUGGAGCUGACACCACCAUUCAGCAUCAGCGGCUUGCUGAGCGAGGCGGGGGGUGGCUACGUGCGCUUCCAAGAGCAGGGGCUGUGAGGCUGGCAAGCAGGCCAGCACUACCCCCAGGAAGCCCGAAAGGAAGAGGAUGAUCAAGAUGGUGCUGACGAUGUCCAAGACGAGCUCUGCGCUCCCUGCAAGAGAAGACAUGCCUAGGUUGGGGAUGUGGAACGCCGCAGUGGUCUCUAUCACUUCAAACUGCAACGAGAGAGCAGGUUGGUGCCCGAGAGCUCCUGCCUCUGUGGCAGGGCUGGGGCUGGGACUCUCCUCCCUCCUCCUCCAUCCCCUGGGCAAGGUCCCUGAGCAAAGCUGCUGAUAGCAGCUAGACCCCAAACCCCCAUGAGAGUUGGAGGACGCACUGCAGUAAAACAUUCAGAGGUAAAACUUAUCUAUAUAUGUUUACAUAGAUCUACGGUAAAACAUAUCUAUAAUUUCUGGCUCAAUAUUAGCUUUUAUGUAGGACUGUGCUUUAAAAAAUAAAUCAAACUUUAAAAAGUCUUUCAACUUGAGCUGCACUGCAUGGGAGGGAGGGUCUCCAUGCUUGCCUGCAGGCUGUGGACCCCACAGGACCAGCAACUCAUCUCACCGUGUGGUUGUUCUGCGGCCUCCUGACGUACACCUUGUAGCGCCUCGCGUGCUUCUGAAUGUCUUCGUAGCGAACGGUGCGGUUCCCCACCUUGAAGAGCAUCUGCAGCUGCAUAUGGAUGCUGUUGCCCAGCACGGAGAGGCUCUGGCCUGACAGACGCAGGCUGGCUGGAGAUGAGGGAUUUUAAAGAGCAAGUCAGGUUUGUCUCCUCUCUGUGGCUCUGAGAGCUUCUGCAGCAGGCGGCUGAGCUGCAAGCAUCCCUCGCGCCUGAUGCUGUUGUGCUGCCACCUAUCCUGAGCUUUGCCCUGUCCCGGCCCACCCCAUGGACCAGCUGCCCUCCAGGAAGGCACAAGGGCAUCACCCCCCCGCUCUGAUCUCUCCCAAAGCAGGUUGACACUGUGCCCUCCACCUACCUUCCCUCGGGGAGAAAGAGCUGCUCCUUUGCCAGAGGGACGUGCGGUUCCCGGACACGGCUCGCACCCGUGAGAAGUAGCGCCGCUCGGGGUCCAGGGUGUAGUACGUGAGGUCGCAGCUGAGCUCCCAGAUCCUCAUGCAGUUUGGGAUGGCCAUCCAGGAGAAAUUGGUGCCGUAGCUGCAGGGAGAAGUGCCUGGGGUGAGCAUGGUGCUGGCUACUGCUGCCGGUAUCAAUCCCAGGCAGACAACCCCUACGUCCCUGGCCACUGUACUCACACUUUGUGCUCCACUUCGUAGCUGACGUCGCUGGGGGCGUUGUGUCCCGGCUCCCACCGCAGCAGGUGAUACGCCACCUCCGUGUCAUAGCGUACGGCCGUGGGUUUUGACAGCAUCUCACCUGCGGGACCGAAGGCAUCAGGCAGCGCCUGGCUCGGCCCGGCCGAGAGCACCUCGGGGCUUUCCUCUCCCCAGAGAGGAGCCCCCUGACCUCUGCCUGCCAGCACGCUCUCUGUUUGGAUUCAGCCUUCCUGUUUUGCUCAUCUACUGCCUGGAAAAAAAAAAUAGACUUUUUCAC